Molecule: long non-coding RNA, 1135 nt
Filed under: Mustela putorius furo (domestic ferret)
Lineage: Eukaryota; Metazoa; Chordata; Mammalia; Carnivora; Mustelidae
Description: lncRNA (ENSMPUG00000025258.1)
Source: RNAcentral
AAUCCUCGCAAGGCUCGGGUCACCCGACGUUUCAUCGUCAUGGAAGAGCUAUAUAUGAAAACUGGGGCUCUCUGUCCUCUCCCACAACUGUACCAAGGGAAGCUAUGGAGAAGGAGCAAGAAAAGGAAGAAAAACCAGACUCUGGAAGGUGAGCAUCUGCCACUCACCCCUUUGUGCCCAGUUACACUGAACCCCCGCUCCUAGGGCUCAGCCCCACUCUCUCUAGGACAUGAGGACCUGAGCUCCUCCCUCAGGAAACAGCACUGCAUGGGAGGUUGGGGUCCUCCAGGAGGAAGAGGGCAACCUGGAGGUUUCCCAGAUUCUGGGCCACAGCAAAGCCCAGAGGGGCUGGAAAUGGGUGUCGCCCAACAGGGGUCCCAAGGCCUGGACUUGGGGCGGGACCUCCUGCUCCCAUUGUGGACAAGCUGUUCAACUCUGCUCACCUUCCUCUGUGAGGCCACGUGGUCCUUCCUCGCCCAGCAAUGUCAUGAACGAGGAGGCACUUUGGAAAAGACAAAGUGGCUCCCACCAUGAAUCCUGUAAUCACCGUGUGGGCAUGUGGCCUUGGACAGUGCUGUUUGGGGCUACUGAGUCCAAUCCCCUAAAGUCUCCCCUAAAGGGACAUUGUACCCAGCCUCCUGUAAGACACCUGGGCCCUGCCUUCUGCUGUGACCUGGUCUCCUGUUUCCAGUUUUCAGAGAGUUCCUGCAAGAUUUGGAAGAGGUUCAUGACCUGUUCUCCCUUCUGCAAAGCCACCUGGCAAGGCUCUCUGACCCAGGGGCUUUCACCAGCUCUUACGGCAAGCAGCCCCUGGACAGGUGCGCUGAGGACUGUCAGUUGGAGCCUGUCAGCCAUGCAGGGAGCCUGUGGAAGAUGCUUCUCCCGCCAUGGCCUCAUCAUCUGCCCAUGCUCCACCGACGGGGCCCUCUUGGCCUCCUGCUUCCACCCUGCCAGCAGGACCAAUGACCUCAAUUUCUGUUGGUUUACACUCCUCCCUGAGUACUUCCUGGCUAGCAGAGCCUUUCCUCCGCCUGGAUGGCUUUCACACCAGCCACUUGCUCUUCCCCCUUCCCCGCCAUGUCUCCGUUCUUCGGAGGCUUCUCCUUGGCCCCAGAGCAGCUGGACUCUCCUUUGA